ACGUGUCUGCAGCUACUGCAGCGCUGCUCCUCUGGGUAGGCCGUGCUCGGGGAUCGGCCCUCGGGCCUCGGCCUUGGAGCCUCCCGAACCCGGAGCUCCUCCCAGCGUCGAGUCGGCGAUCCUCCGUGACCACGCCCUUCGCCCUGACAGCUCAGCGUCCUGGCAGCUCCUGCACCAGGCUGGUGCCGUCCCGGGAGGAGGGGUCAGGCAGCCGCCCUCCUGCAGGUGGAGCGGGGUGGAGGCUCUUUCCUGAGCCCAGCGGCAGGACGCUGAGGACCAGCGAGUUUUUCUUUUUGCAGAUACGUAGAAUCAACUAUGGGGGUGAGAGGCUUACAGGGUUUUGUGGGAAGUACCUGCCCACACAUCUGUACAGUAGUCAAUAUCCAGGAGCUGGCAGAGCACCACCGAACCAAGUACCCAGGAUGCACUCCUACCAUUGUGGUGGAUGCUAUGUGCUGUCUCCGAUACUGGUACACGCCAGAAUCUUGGGUCUGCGGUGGCCAGUGGCGAGAAUACUUUUCUGCAUUGAGAGACUUUGUAGCCGCCUUCACGUCUGCAGGCAUCAAGUUGAUAUUCUUCUUUGACGGCAUGGUGGAGCCGGGUAAGAGAGACGAGUGGGUAAAACGAAGACUUAAGAACAACAGGGAGAUAUCCAAGAUUUUCCACUAUAUCAAGUCAAAGCGAGAUCAGCCAGGCAGAAGCAUGUUCUUCAUCCCCUCUGGGCUGGCCAUAUUUACACGAUUUGCUCUAAAAACUUUGGGUCAAGAAACUUUCUGUUCAUUACAGGAGGCAGACUUUGAGGUGGCCUCUUAUGGUCUCCAGCACAACUGUCUUGGGAUCCUUGGGGAAGACACCGAUUACUUAAUUUAUGACACUUGUCCCUACUUGUCAAUCGGUGAUCUCUGCCUGGAGACCCUUGAAACCAUUAUGCUCUGUCGAGAGAAGCUCUGUGAGACCCUAGGCCUCCAUGUGGCAGACCUUCCUCUACUAGCCUGUCUUCUUGGCAAUGACAUCACCCCAGAGGGCAUGUUUGAAAGCUUUCGGUACAAGUGCCUGUCCUCCUAUACCUCCGUGAAAGAGAAUGCUGGCAAAAAAGGAAAUAUUAUCUUAGCUGUCUCAGACUACAUCUCCAAAGUUCUUCACUUGCAUCAGGGUGAGAAAAAGAUAGAAGAGCUGUUACCCUUGGGACCACACAAAGCUCUUUUUUACAAAGGAGUGACCUCGUAUCUUUUGCCAGGGCAGAUAUCCCCUUGGUUAGUUCAGAAACCCAAAGUCAUAAUAACAGACAAGCAAGAGGCAAGUUUAAACCCUGAAUCUAAGCAAGAAGUUCCUAUGUGUAUAGAUCCUGAGUCCAAGCAAGAAGUCCCCGUGUGUACUGAUCCUGAGUCCAUGCAAGAAGUUCCCAUGUGCAUGGACCCUGAACCCAAGCAAGAAGUUCCCAUGUGCACGGACUCUGAACCCAAGCAAGAAGUUCCCAUGUGCACGGACCCUGAACCCAAGCAAGAAGUUCCCAUGUAUGCAUACCCAGAGGUCAGGCAAAACUUACCCUCAGAAGCAGAGGCUCAACCUAAUCUGGAAGCACUCGUGUGUAUGCACCCUGAAGUUAAACAGGAAGACACCAUGGAUAUAGAACCUGAAAUAAAGCAAGUAACCAUGGUCUCAGACUCCGAAAUCUUAAAGGUUGCCAGGAUGCACCACGUCCACUCUGAGAGCUACCUAGUGUACAACAUUAUGACCAGUGGAGAGAUCGAGUGCAGCAACACCCUGGAGGAUGAGCUGGACCAAGCUCUGCCCAGCCAGGCCUUCAUCUACCGCCCCAUCCGGCAGCGAGUGUACUCACUUCUGCUUGGGGACUGGAAAGAUGGAGCCAGCACCGACCCGGUGGUCAAGGAGUGGUUUGUGUACCCUGGGAACUCCCUGAAGUACCCAGACCUCGUUAGGCCUCUGAAGAUGACUGUUCAAGGGGGAAAGCCUAGUUUGGAAGUUUUGUGGCUGAGCCAAGAUCCGGCAGCACAGGCCCAGCGUGUGGACUCGUUGCUAGCCUGCUUCAAUCUCUCCUCCUCGAGAGAAGAGCUGCAGGCACUUGAGAGCCCACUGAGGGCACUGUGCUGUCUCCUAAUCUACCUCUUUGUCCAGGUGGACACGCUUUCCCUGGAAGACCUGCACGCAUUUAUUGCUCAGGCCUUGUGCCUCCAAGGAAAAUCAGCCUCACAGCUUAUGAACCUACAGCUGGAUUACAUUAGCUCCAGAGCCGUGCAGCUGGGGUCCCUCCUCGUCCGUGGCCUCACCAUGUUGGUACUGGUCAACAGCGCUUGUGGCUUCCCCUGGACAACAAGCGAAUUCAUGCCCUGGAAUGUCUUUGAUGGCAAGCUUUUCCAUCAGAAGUACCUGCAAUCUGAAAAAGGAUAUGCCGUGGAGGUUCUUUUGGAACAAAACAGAUCAUGGCUCACCAAGUUCCACAACGUAAAGGCGGUGGUCUGCAAGGCCUGCUCCAGGGAGAGCCGACGCAUUGUGGGCAGAACGCGUUGGCACUCUCACCACACAGGGAGGCUGGGGAGACAGGGCUCCAGCUCCCACAGGACAGGCUCCACAUAUGGCCAUCCUGGGCAAGGGCAGACAUGGAGAAAUCAGGGCCCAGGCAGCUACAUCCCCAAGCCUGUUUCCUACAGCUGUGUGAUGCUAUGACUCUGUGGUUCAUCAUUGGUGAGUGAGUGUAACUUCUUCAGUGAGAAGGGAAGGAGGUAAGGAGCCACCUGCAGAGGUGCCAUAGAGCCAGGCCCAUGCCUGUCUUGGGAAGCCUGGGCCUUCGUAACCCCACCAUUCUACAUGCCACUACUUCCUGGCAUUUCGUCUGCAUCCUGGGCCACACACAGCCCAGCAGUGAUAUCCCUUUUGGGAACUCUGGCACUCGAAACAGAUGUGGUGAACAAAAUCUGGGCAGCUGUGUGUAUCCUGAUUUUACUGUGCAUGCAUGCUCUUCAGGCACUGGAUGAUUCUGCAAUGAUGGGGACAAAGGUCUUACUCUUGUUGGGCUCAGUGAAUAAAGUUGGGCCCAGUGUGCAAAUCCAUAUGUACACCCAUAAUCACCAAUCUUAUGAUAUCUCCUUUCUAAUAUACAUAUGCUGAAAUUAUGUUUAUACACACAAAGAAAAGGCAAUAAGCAAUAAGCACUUCUUCUGACCCAGAAAAGGGCAAUGUGAAGUUGUCACCCCUGUUACAGAUCUGUAAGCCCUGGGGGCACACAAGGCCCUGGACAGUUAAUCCUGCCCAGUGAGUGAAUCUCCUUACCCAACUGAUUUGCUGCUCAUCCAGGCUGGACUAGGAGUUGGCAUCCAUCUUCCACCUAUGUGACCACAUUGAACUUGGCACAUUGGAAGUCUUCCCAGCCCCCAGUCUCCCCCCCCCCAGACAGGGUUUCUCUGUAUUGCUUUGGAGGCUGUCCUGUCCUGGAACUUGCUCAGUAGACCUGGUUGGCCUCGAACUCACAAAGAUCCACCUUUCUCUGCCUCCCGAGUGCUGGGAUUAAAGGUGUGAACCACCACCGCCCAGCUCACUUUGGGAGUCUUAAGUGGCAUGUGUAUUAUCUAGUUUUAAGACCAGAGACACCCAUUUACCACCCUGUUGUUAUGGUCAGUUGAAAACAGAAACAUGAUACUGGUCAUAUUAGUUAAAGUCUAAAAACUGUGUAGACAUUGUACCCUGGUUUGAGGCUUGGAACUUUGAAGGACAGCUCUUCUUUAUUGGGGUGGGUUAUUAUAAUCACAGUCUUGAUUGUGAAGGAUGGGCUGGAAAAGGUUCUAGGGACACCUGAGACCAAAAGGCCAAUUUGAGUGGCCUGGUGCUAGGCUGAUACCACGCUGAAUGGCCAGAGGUGACUCUGGAAGCAGCUAGGGGCAGUGUGUGAGCGAGGACAGUGCUUCUCUGGCACCUUGCCCAUGUGGAAGAAAGGCUCACAGGCCGCCAGCAGCUGCAGCAGCUGCGUUAGUGCUCUUCCGAAUUGUGUACAACAUCAGCUUUUACACAGUUGGUCCUUAGUUGGAAUUUUUGUUGUUUUAAAGAUCAGGCAAUCCACUUUUCCUGUGAAAUUACCAGGGUUGUAUUUGGGGCCAGCACAUUUUUGUAGUGAGUUUUUUCCUGUCUUAAGCAUUUUUGUAUCUCUUCAACAUAUAAAGUAGAAAGUUGUUGUAUUUCAAGAUUAGAAAAAAUAAACAAAAUUCUUCAUGCUAGAAAAGACUCGGAAUGCUUUAAGUUCAAAAUGGCAGUGUUCGGUUUUAGCACAUUUUCAGAGUCUGGACCUAAAUGCAUAAAUGUGGUCCUGUGGGAACUGAGUUCUCAGGGUCACUGCAGGGACUGCAGCCUGGCAGAUGGGGUUGGGGUACACCCCCAGAGGUAGUAUCAUCAAAGUCUAGGGCCCAUCCCAGCACCCUGUGACCAAAUGGCUACCAGAACUAAAGUUUUGGCCUCUCCCUUGCUACUAUUCAGCCCAGCUGGAGAGGGAAAACGUGUUAAAUUCCACUAAGGAGCUGUAAAGUUAGGUGAGAUUCUUCGCUUUGUCCCUUCUCAUGGUGACUGAGAGGGGCCUGCACACUAGGAGACUACAGGAGUGGAAACAGAGAUGACAAGGAUGGUGAAGGCUGUAUUAAUCUGGACACCUGUUGGUGCCAUCACCCUCACACUUUAGGGGUCAUUAGGCUGGGCCUGUUAAAGCCAUUGCUUUCAUGUACCAAAGAAAGCCAAGAGCAAGACUUGCAGAAAAGUGUGUUGUUGUUGCUGUUUUUGUUGUUGUUAAGAGUCUCACUAUGUGGCAUUAUCCUGCCUGGAACUCACAGAGAACCACCUGCCUCCGAGUCCUGAGUCCCACCAUGCCCAACCAAACAUGGCCGUUCUUAAGCUGUGGGAACUGCCAGUUUCCUUCAAGGCUAGCUCUGCUCCAAGUCCCUUCCCAACACCCCAUGUCUGUCAGAGGCAGGAAGUGGCCAGCUACACUGUGGGGUUGGGGGGCUUGUGUGCUCAGCCCUGGAAAAGCCACACGGGGCUUUUUCUGUGCUUGGCAGGAAGUCCUUUCAGAGCCAUCUGCAGAUGAAUUUCCAUUUCCAAAGUCAUUAGCAGCAAUAAACAUCUAGAUGUCCUGCAGAUGGUUAGAACUGGCACCAAGAGAAACAAUUUUGACAGUUUCCUUCUCCUAAUAGCACUGUCUCCUAAUUAAUUGCUUCCACUCUAAUGGAAUAAUUAUAGAAUGAAAUUUAAUGACAGGUGGUCACAACUGAAAAAUGUUCUGUCUUCCAGUACAAGUCAGCACUCUGUCUUUGUGUAUACUUAGAACUGCGCCACUUCCUUGAGUUAGUGCCUGAAGACAGCUCUUCUUACUUCUUACUUUGUUUUUUUGUUUUGUUUUGUUUUUUUAAUUUCUGUUCGGUGCAGGAGGCAGACAGUAUGAGCACGACCAGUGGAGAAGAUACUAGAUGUCUCUCAGGAAGUGUGGGAAGAGGGUGCAGCACCCUGCCCUCCUUCAGAGUGAUGUCACCCGGUCUCGCCAGUGAGGAGAUGGCAACUGGAACCACAUUUCCGUGAAGGAAGAAUUACUUUUCAGAGGUUUCUCCCCCGUGGACAGUAAAAAAGUGUCCAUUGGUUUGGUUUCAGAGGUUGCUCCUGAUGCCACGACCCCAAAACACUCAUCAGUAGCAUCACGUAUGCUCCCUGAUCUUAGCAGGACUCCAAUUCCUUCACACAUUUUCUUAUCUUUAAAUUGUGGAAAUGUUUCCCCAAGUCAUUACUCUUUGAAAUCAUGGAGCCUUAGUUAUUUCCGUUACUGUGAAAAGACACCAUAACUGAAGAAACUUAUAACACAAUACGUUUAAUUUGGGGCUCAAGGUUCCAGAGGGAAGAGCCCGUGACCAUCAUGGCAGGCAGGUUAACGACUUGCUAGAUGGGAAUGGCUCAGGAUUUUGAAAAUUCAAAACCCACUCCCAUUGACACACCUCCCCCAGUGUGGCCCCACCAAAUGUUUUCCACCAACCGAAGACCAAGCAUUCCAACAUAUUAAUGUGGGUCAUUCUCAUUCAGCCCAUCCGUCACGCGUGGUACCUGAUAGCCACACAUGCAAUGUCAGAAAUUACUUUUUCAUUAGAAAUUCUAACAAUUUGAUUGCCCAACCAUUUCUUUUCUUUUCUUGGUCCUCAGAAGUGUUUGGAUAGGAAAAGAAAAACAAUAAAGUCGUUCUUGCUUGUGGGAAAGUUGAUUCUGCUUGGAGGUGAAAUGGCUCAGCAGUUGAGAACAGCGGCCAUUCUUCCAGAGAACCCAGGUGUGAUUCCCAGCGCCCACGUGAUAGCUCACAGCUACCUGUGACUCCAGUUCCAGGGGGCCUAGCGGGUCUCCUGGCCUCAGUGGUCACCAGGCACAUGACGCACAGACAUGCAUGCAGGCCAAGCACCCUUAAAGAUGAAAUAAACAAGUAAAACAGACUGUUUUAAAGAAGCACGCUAGGUUAGGCCUAGGUGUAAGGUCCUCCCUCUUCAACCUUUGAAGUUAUUACCUGUCUCCACUGGGGAAUGAGAGUCACCGUGUGCAGGGUCCUCACAGCCAUGCCGUAUCUCUGGGGACACUUGGUUCCCUUAGGCAAUGCAAGCACUCCUGACCCCUGGGAGAUCUCUCUUACCAGUGCUGCUGUCUCUAAAUCUUUAGUAAGCCCCUAAAAACUCUCAUUUUCACCUUCACACCGACAAUCACCCAGCCCCAAGUGUGUUAAUGCAGAGCUCUUGGGUCUCACCUUGGAAUUCUUAGUUGUUACCAGAAAGGUAUAGAGUGCCCACAUUUGAGCAAUUUGCAUUUGUUCAGCUUCUUCUGCUCCUGAAGGACUUAUGCAUAGUGUGUCUGCAGGUCUUACAGCUGCUAUGACUUUAAUGCCUAGAUUUGGAAAUGGCUUUUCCGGUCCCCCAGUAUUUCCCUCUGAUACUCCUUCCUGCUCGUCUAGUUUUUGCCACUUUGAAACAUUGCUGCCUCUAGUUGUUUCUUUGCUGUUUACUUGUGUAACUUUGAAGAAAGUUUCUGAUCUCUUAGACUGAAACUAUAUUUCUAUGAAGGCUCUUUUCCCUCACAGACUCAGUAUUCUGACUUGUCAAUAAAAUGUGUCAUUCACAAGCUUAAA
Molecule: RNA transcript, 7144 nt
Organism: Mesocricetus auratus (golden hamster)
Lineage: Eukaryota; Metazoa; Chordata; Mammalia; Rodentia; Cricetidae
Gene: Fam120b
Gene name: family with sequence similarity 120B
Exons: 11
Source: RefSeq, a predicted model, not a curated record